This 433-nucleotide ribosomal RNA is filed under the name uncultured bacterium. RNAcentral describes it as "partial 16S ribosomal RNA". It matches the Rfam family "Bacterial small subunit ribosomal RNA", at positions 29 to 507 of the family's 1533-position model. The record is from RNAcentral.
AACGAACGCUGGCGGCAUGCCCAACACAUGCAAGUCGAACGAGACCUUCGGGUCUAGUGGCGCACGGGUGCGUAACGCGUGGGAACCUGCCCUUAGGUUCGGAAUAACUCCCCGAAAGGGGUGCUAAUACCGGAUAAUGUCUUCGGACCAAAGAUUUAUCGCCUUUGGAUGGGCCCGCGUUGGAUUAGCUAGUUGGUAGGGUAAAAGCCUACCAAGGCGACGAUCCAUAGCUGGUCUGAGAGGAUGAUCCGCCACACUGGGACUGAGACACGGCCCAGACUCCUACGGGAGGCAGCAGUGGGGAAUAUUGGACAAUGGGCGAAAGCCUGAUCCAGCAAUGCCGCGUGAGUGAUGAAGGCCUUAGGGUUGUAAAGCUCUUUUACCCGGGAUGAUAAUGACAGUACCGGGAGAAUAAGCUCCGGCUAACUCCGUG